UGUCCAUGUAAUGUUACACAGACGUCUGGAUCCUCUUGCCUUAUCCACUCGUGGCUGCUGCUGCUGGUGGUGGAGGUUGCCAUGUAGAGCAAAAUGGCACCAGGUUCAUUCUGAAGGACACGGCACAAAAGUGUGCCAUAUACCAUUGGCGUGAUGGUGAAACUGUGGUUGCCAACGAACAUCAGUCCAACACCUCGAUUGUGCGGACAUGGGGCAAUUACAGCAUCUUCUUUUUCUCUUGUCAAAACAAUGUCAGAUACAAGAGUAAAUGUUCUGGGAGCAUCAUCAACUGUUCCUACCCCUGCCCCGCCGAGAGUAAACUCACCACCACAUCACCAGCUAAAGAGCGGUCACCUUUAAAUCACGGUGCUGUUAUUGGAGGCAGUACUGCCGUUGCCAUUGUUCUCUGCGUUGCAGUCCUGAUAUUGGCCACGUCAGAGCGGCUUAGAACGUAAGAGCCGCACUCGCCCAUCCUCUAAACAUUCGGUCAUCUGUUCUGAGAGUAAAUCUUUGUAUUUCUGUGUGCAGAUGUAUGCAGGCUAAGACAGCCGCCUGGUGCAGAUGUGGCUACAGCGCAGCACAGUAGACCGUCCAGAGCGGCCUUGGUGCUCCACCACUUCCAGCUAGCCUAUAUGGUGGCCUUCAUGUACUUAUCACAUACUGCAGCUGAUCAUUUAAGGCCAUUUACAGCAUUAAGCGCUGUUGGGACAGGGUUCGUUUCACAUGGGGAGGUAAUGCAACUUUACCACAGGACGUUUGGAAUGUUUUUGAAUGAUUACAGAGAUUUCCCACCUACAUGCUACACACAUGGCUUCUCUGUAGUAGAAAACAUGUCCAGACAUUAAGGCUCGAUCCUGUCUCUUCUUUUUUUACCUCUACUGCUUGUUUUCAAGUGUUAUCUUGUGCCUUAGUUUGGGCCACAGAAAGCACAAUGCUUCCAUGGUGCUAUACUUAAGAACAAAUGUGAAAACUCCUGGAUACGAUGGAGCAUUGAGACCAAAUUCACACAGGAACGCUACAGGUUGUUUCAUAAUAGUGGAUGGAACCACAAUCACUGAAGAAAUACACGCAAAAAUGACAUGAUCCCACCUCCCUGUGUCAAACCCAUCCUGUCCGAAUGGCGCAUUAGUCACCAUCAACUUUUUCAACUCUUCGUGCAUUCCUGUGUAGAUAUUUCUGAGUUUUUAAGCCAUAUAGCACCUUUUUUUAUCAGUCACUCUUUCACCUGUCCUUUUUAGUAGCCUGUUACUCUAAUAACUGCUGUUCUAUUCUUUCUUUCUGGUGUAGCUUCUAUAAACUAUAUUAUAUUUUACUCUCCCUGCAUUAUAUUUUACUGUAGCAAAGGGGGGAGGGUUCGCUUGGAAUUUAUGUUCAGCUUAUUAUAGAAUGACUGGCAUCACAAAGCUUUAAAGACAUUUUAUUACUAACAUAUUUAUUUAUAAAUAUUGUUUGUAAAAUAGCUAGAUGAAAUAUUAGCCUGUUACAAGCUUUAAAAAACAAAUAUAGAAUGUAUUUUAUGCGCUUAAUCAUGAACACCCGGAAAGUGUUAAUGUGCACCACCGUUAGCUUAACACUCACUUGCCAUGGGAAAUUCCAUAGAGGCCAGCUUAAAGUUGCAUUAUUGUUUUUUUUCCCCUCAUUUUUGGACUUGAGUUCUGAUAAAGCCUAGCUCUGAAAAUCAUGGUCCACCCCAGUGUUGUGCUGAGUUUCGGUUAUUUUCCCAGAAUUAACAGUCCAGUACGCAUACUAUAGACAGUGUUGACCGCAGCACUCUGUACUGUGUUUGCACUCACAUAGACAUUUGAGCCUUUUAGAGAUGUUCUUUGUAGGCUUAGUUCUCUUUGCCUCAUUUCCGUCUCUUAUUGACCGGGGUAUAUUUUGGUUUGUCCGUCUGAAUUUUCGUGACCAAAUCCUAAGGGCAGAUUUUUCAUGGGCUGCAUUAAAUGAAUGUAAGUUUUUAUUUUAUUUUAAUUUAUUUAUUUAUUUUGAAAAUAAAGCCCCC
Molecule: long non-coding RNA, 2002 nt
Organism: Pygocentrus nattereri (red-bellied piranha)
Lineage: Eukaryota; Metazoa; Chordata; Actinopteri; Characiformes; Serrasalmidae
Source: Ensembl